Molecule: ribosomal RNA, 440 nt
Filed under: uncultured bacterium
Lineage: Bacteria
Description: partial 16S ribosomal RNA
Rfam family: Bacterial small subunit ribosomal RNA
Source: RNAcentral
CCUACGUGGUGCAGCAGUAGGGAAUAUUGCUCAAUGGGGGAAACCCUGAAGCAGCAACGCCGCGUGGAGGACGAAGGUUUUCGGAUUGUAAACUCCUUUUGUUAGAGAAGAUAAUGACGGUAUCUAACGAAUAAGCACCUGCUAACUCCGUGACAGCAGCCGCGGUAAUACCGAGGGUGCAAGCGUUACUCGGAAUCACUGGGCGUAAGGAGCGCGUAGGCGGUAUAGAAAGUCAGAUGUGAAAUCCUAUGUCUUAACCAGAGAACUGCCUUUGAAAAUGUUAUUCUAGAGUAUGGAAGUGGUAGGUGGAAUUCUUGGUGUAGGGGUAAAAUCCGUAGAGAUCAAACGGAAUACUGAUUGCGAAGGCGACCUGCUAAAACAUAACUGACGCUGAUGCGCGAAAGCGUGGGGAGCAAACAGGAUUAGAUACCCGUGUAGUC